Molecule: non-coding RNA, 24 nt
Filed under: Cricetulus griseus (Chinese hamster)
Lineage: Eukaryota; Metazoa; Chordata; Mammalia; Rodentia; Cricetidae
Source: RNAcentral
CCCAGGACUACAAGGCGGUUUUAA